UGGGGAAUAUUGGACAAUGGGGGAAACCCUGAUCCAGCGACGCCGCGUGGGUGAAGAAGGCCUGCGGGUUGUAAAGCCCUUUCGGUAGGGACGAAAGCUCUUGCUCUAACAAAGCAGGAGGUUGACUUAACCUACAUAAGAAGCACCGGCUAACUCUGUGCCAGCAGCCGCGGUAAUACAGAGGGUGCGAGCGUUAAUCGGAAUUACUGGGCGUAAAGCGCACGUAGUCGGCUUGUCAAGUCGGGUGUGAAAUCCCCGGGCUCAACCUGGGAACUGCAUCCGAAACUGACUUGCUAGAGUAUGGGAGAGGGAGGCGGAAUUUCUGGUGUAGCAGUGAAAUGCGUAGAUAUCAGAAGGAACAUCAGUGGCGAAGGCGGCCUCCUGGACCAAUACUGACGAUCAGGUGCGAAAGCGUGGGGAGCAAACAGG
RNAcentral lists this ribosomal RNA (429 nucleotides) under uncultured bacterium. RNAcentral describes it as "bacterial SSU rRNA". It matches the Rfam family "Bacterial small subunit ribosomal RNA", at positions 355 to 776 of the family's 1533-position model. The record is from RNAcentral. RNAcentral also lists the same sequence under 1 other name.